AUUGAACGCUGGCGGCAGGCCUAACACAUGCAAGUCGAGCGGAGCGGCGGACGGGUGAGUAAUGCCUAGGAAUCUGCCUGGUAGUGGGGGAUAACGUCCGGAAACGGGCGCUAAUACCGCUCACUAUCAGAUGAGUCUAGGUGGGAUUAGCUAGCUGGUGGGGUAAAGGCCUACCAAGGCGACGACCCGUAACUGGUCUGAGAGGAUGAUCAGUCACACUGGAACUGAGACACGGUCCAGACUCCUACGGGAGGCAGCAGUGGGGAAUAUUGGACAAUGGGCGAAAGCCUGAUACAGCCAUGCCGCGUGUGUGAAGAAGGUCUUCGGAUUGUAAAGCACUUUAAGUUGGGAGGCGUUACCAGCAGAAUAAGCACCGGCUAACUUCGUGCCAGCAGCCGCGGUAAUAC
This 407-nucleotide ribosomal RNA is filed under the name uncultured bacterium. RNAcentral describes it as "partial 16S ribosomal RNA". It matches the Rfam family "Bacterial small subunit ribosomal RNA", at positions 30 to 526 of the family's 1533-position model. The record is from RNAcentral.